AUACGUAGGGGGCGAGCGUUGUCCGGAAUGAUUGGGCGUAAAGGGCGCGUAGGCGGCCCGGUAAGUCUGGAGUGAAAGUCCUGUUUUUAAGAUGGGAAUUGCUUUGGAUACUGUCGGGCUUGAGUGCAGGAGAGGUAAGUGGAAUUCCCAGUGUAGCGGUGAAAUGCGUAGAGAUUGGGAGGAACACCUGUGGCGAAGGCGACUUACUGGACUGUAACUGACGCUGAGGCGCGAAAGUGUGGGGAGCAAACAGGAUUAGAUACCCUGGUAGUCCACACUGUAAACGAUGAAUGCUAGGUGUAGGGGGUAUCGACCCCUUCUGUGCCGCAGUCAACACAAUAAGCAUUCCGCCUGGGGAGUACGGCCGCAAGGUUGAAACUCAAAGGAAUUGACGGGG
This 397-nucleotide ribosomal RNA is filed under the name uncultured bacterium. RNAcentral's name for it is "partial 16S ribosomal RNA". It matches the Rfam family "Bacterial small subunit ribosomal RNA", at positions 523 to 918 of the family's 1533-position model. The record is from RNAcentral.